Molecule: long non-coding RNA, 399 nt
Organism: Alnus glutinosa
Lineage: Eukaryota; Viridiplantae; Streptophyta; Magnoliopsida; Fagales; Betulaceae
Exons: 3
Source: RefSeq, a predicted model, not a curated record
UGUCUACCGAAGUGGAGGCCGCGAAAUCAAAUUGACUUUCUAUCCGACGAAGUGCAGGAAAACACUCCAUAAAUAGAAGUGAAGGGAAUCACUCAAAAGAACAAUUGAUGUAACAGAAUCUGAACAUGAUGAUGCAACUCAACAUGCAGAAGCUAGAAUCGUCUUACCAUAGCGUGCAGCGGACCAACCAACGCGAUGAGGCGGAGGGAAAUACAUCAAAUGACGAGAAUGGAGCUCUGUCGAAAGGGAAAAGGACAUGAGAUUAGUCUCUCGAACAUGAAUUGAAGAGAAGCUCUCGCAGCUCUCUUGGCAAAUCAUUUGGCAAUCCCUCCAAGCUUAUCUCAUUUUAUUUUGGAAGGUGACUAGGUUACAAUUGCUCUUGCUCUUCAAUUGCUCGCC